UGGGGAAUCUUGGACAAUGGGGGCAACCCUGAUCCAGCCAUGCCGCGUGAGCGAUGAAGGCCUUAGGGUUGUAAAGCUCUUUCACCGGUGAAGAUAAUGACGGUAGCCGGAGAAGAAGCCCCGGCUAACUCCGUGCCAGCAGCCGCGGUAAUACGGAGGGGGCUAGCGUUGUUCGGAAUUACUGGGCGUAAAGCGCACGUAGGCGGACCAGAAAGUUGGGGGUGAAAUCCCGGGGGCUCAACCCCGGAACUGCCUCCAAAACUAUUGGUCUAGAGUUCGAGAGAGGUGAGUGGAAUUCCAAGUGUAGAGGUGAAAUUCGUAGAUAUUUGGAGGAACACCAGUGGCGAAGGCGGCUCACUGGCUCGAUACUGACGCUGAGGUGCGAAAGUGUGGGGAGCAAACAGGAUUAGAUACCCUGGUAGUCCACACCGUAAAACGAUGAAUGCCAGUCGUCGGGUAGCAUGCUAUUCGGUGACACACCUAACGGAUUAAGCAUUCC
This 499-nucleotide ribosomal RNA is filed under the name uncultured bacterium. RNAcentral's name for it is "bacterial SSU rRNA". It matches the Rfam family "Bacterial small subunit ribosomal RNA", at positions 355 to 870 of the family's 1533-position model. The record is from RNAcentral.